UACGUAGGCAGCAAGCGUUGUUCGGAGUUACUGGGCGUAAAGGGUGUGUAGGCGGUUUUCUAAGUCUGGUGUGAAAUCUCCCGGCUCAACUGGGAGGGUGCGCCGAAAACUGGAAGGCUAGAGUGCGGGAUGGGAGAGUGGAAUUCCUGGUGUAGCGGUGAAAUGCGCAGAUAUCGGGAAGAACACCUAUGGCGAAGGCAGCUCUCUGGGACGGUACUGACGCUGAGACGCGAAAGCGUGGGGAGCGAACAGG
This 253-nucleotide ribosomal RNA is filed under the name uncultured bacterium. RNAcentral's name for it is "partial 16S ribosomal RNA". It matches the Rfam family "Bacterial small subunit ribosomal RNA", at positions 524 to 776 of the family's 1533-position model. The record is from RNAcentral.